This 335-nucleotide ribosomal RNA is filed under the name uncultured bacterium. Its description in RNAcentral is "partial 16S ribosomal RNA". It matches the Rfam family "Bacterial small subunit ribosomal RNA", at positions 338 to 690 of the family's 1533-position model. The record is from RNAcentral.
CCUACGGGUGGCAGCAGUAGGGAAUAUUGCUCAAUGGGGGAAACCCUGAAGCAGCAACGCCGCGUGGAGGAUGAAGGUUUUAGGAUUGUAAACCCCUUUUGUUAGAGAAGAUUAUGACGGUAUCUAACGAAUAAUCACCGGCUAACUCCGUGCCAGCAGCCGCGGGAAUACGGAGGGUUCAAGCGUUACUCGGAAUCACUGGGCGUAAAGAGUGCGUAGGCGGGGUAAUAAGUCAGAUGUGAAAUCCUGUAGCUUAACUAGAGAACUGCAUUUGCAACUGUUACUCUGGAGUGUGGGAGGGGUAGGUGGGAUUCUUGGUGGAGGCGUAGAAACCG